UUGCGGGGCUUCUUGGCAGCUCCAGAGUGGGAGAAGCAUCAUGCUGCACUCAUUGCACUGGCACAGAUCGCCGAGGGUUCCUCAAAGGUGAUGAUAAGGAACCUCGAGCAGAUAGUUUCUAUGGUUUUAAACUCAUUCCAAGAUCCCCAUCCCCGUGUGAGGUGGGCUGCUAUAAACGCAAUUGGACAAUUGUCAACUGACCUGGGCCCUGAUUUGCAAAUAAAGUAUAAUCAGCAAGUGCUUCCUGCUUUGGCUGGAGCAAUGGACGAUUUUCAGAAUCCUCGAGUUCAGGCGCAUGCCGCGUCAGCAGUACUUAAUUUCAGUGAAAAUUGUACUGCAGAUAUACUGGCACCAUACUUGGAUGGAAUUGUAAGCAAACUUCUUGUACUCCUCCAGAAUGGCAAGCAAAUGGUGCAAGAGGGUGCCCUGACAGCUUUAGCAUCAGUUGCUGAUUCAUCACAGGAGCAAUUUCAGAAAUAUUAUGAUGCUGUAAUGCCUUACUUGAAAGCCAUACUGGUGAAUGCAAAUGACAAGUCUAAUCGCAUGCUUCGUGCAAAAGCUAUGGAAUGCAUUAGUUUGGUUGGGAUGGCCGUUGGAAGGGAUAAAUUUAGAGAUGAUGCGAGGCAGGCUAUGAAUGUCUUAAUGUCGCUUCAAGGAU
Molecule: unclassified non-coding RNA, 658 nt
Filed under: Hevea brasiliensis (rubber tree)
Lineage: Eukaryota; Viridiplantae; Streptophyta; Magnoliopsida; Malpighiales; Euphorbiaceae
Source: RNAcentral